UACGGGGGGGGCAAGCGUUGUCCGGAAUUAUUGGGCGUAAAGCGCGCGCAGGCGGUUUCUUAAGUCUGAUGUGAAAGCCCACGGCUCAACCGUGGAGGGUCAUUGGAAACUGGGAGACUUGAGUGCAGAAGAGAAGAGCGGAAUUCCACGUGUAGCGGUGAAAUGCGUAGAGAUGUGGAGGAACACCAGUGGCGAAGGCGGCUCUUUGGUCUGUAACUGACGCUGAGGCGCGAAAGCGUGGGGAUCAAACAGG
RNAcentral lists this ribosomal RNA (253 nucleotides) under uncultured bacterium. RNAcentral's name for it is "partial 16S ribosomal RNA". It matches the Rfam family "Bacterial small subunit ribosomal RNA", at positions 524 to 776 of the family's 1533-position model. The record is from RNAcentral.